RNAcentral lists this ribosomal RNA (433 nucleotides) under uncultured bacterium. RNAcentral describes it as "partial 16S ribosomal RNA". It matches the Rfam family "Bacterial small subunit ribosomal RNA", at positions 29 to 507 of the family's 1533-position model. The record is from RNAcentral.
AACGAACGCUGGCGGCAUGCCUAACACAUGCAAGUCGAACGAGACCUUCGGGUCUAGUGGCGCACGGGUGCGUAACGCGUGGGAACCUUCCCUUAGGUUCGGAAUAACUCCCCGAAAGGGGUGCUAAUACCGGAUAAUGUCUUCGGACCAAAGAUUUAUCGCCUUUGGAUGGGCCCGCGUUGGAUUAGCUAGUUGGUAGGGUAAAAGCCUACCAAGGCGACGAUCCAUAGCUGGUUUGAGAGGAUGAUCAGCCACACUGGGACUGAGACACGGCCGAGACUCCUACGCGAGGCAGGAGAGGGGAAUAGUGGACAAUGGGCGAAAGCAUGAUCCAGCAAUGACGCGUGAGUGAUGAAGGCCUUAGGGUAGUAAAGCGCUUUUACCCGGGAUGAUAAUGACAGUACCGGGAGAAUAAGCUCCGGCUAACUCCGUG